AGGGAAUUUUGCACAAUGGACGAAAGUCUGAUGCAGCAACGCCGCGUGAAGGAUGAAGGUUCUCGGAUUGUAAACUUCUGUUGAGUGGGAAGAAAAGCCAGCAAUGGUCUGACGGUACCACUUGAGUAAGCACCGGCUAACUACGUGCCAGCAGCCGCGGUAAUACGUAGGGUGCAAGCGUUGUUCGGAAUUACUGGGCGUAAAGGGAGUGUAGGCGGGAUCGUAAGUUAGAAGUUUCAUCUACUGGCUCAACCAGUAGUCGGCUUUUAAUACUGCGGUUCUUGAGUAUGGGAGAGGGUGAUGGAAUUCCAGGUGUAGCGGUGGAAUGCGUAGAUAUCUGGAAGAACACCAGUAGCGAAGGCGGUCGCCUGGCCCAAUACUGACGCUGAGGCUCGAAAGCUAGGGGAGCAAAC
This 413-nucleotide ribosomal RNA is filed under the name uncultured bacterium. Its description in RNAcentral is "bacterial SSU rRNA". It matches the Rfam family "Bacterial small subunit ribosomal RNA", at positions 356 to 773 of the family's 1533-position model. The record is from RNAcentral.